Molecule: small nucleolar RNA, 107 nt
Organism: Eutrema salsugineum
Lineage: Eukaryota; Viridiplantae; Streptophyta; Magnoliopsida; Brassicales; Brassicaceae
Rfam family: Plant small nucleolar RNA R71
About the family: R71 is a member of the C/D box family of snoRNAs containing the C (UGAUGA) and D (CUGA) box motifs. Multiple nearly identical copies of this snoRNA have been identified in Arabidopsis, and it is thought to function as a 2'-O-ribose methylation guide for 18S ribosomal RNA.
Source: Rfam
AAUCUAUGGUGAGGGCACUAGUUUGUAUAGCUUCUGAAUCUCUCACAAGUCUCCCUAAAGGUCUCAUUUUGGUGUUGGGUGAAUGAGGAGAUCUGGUUCCUUAACUU